CAGCACGGGAGCAAUCCUGGUGGCGAGUGGCGAACGGGUGAGUAAUACAUCGGAACGUGUCCUGUAGUGGGGGAUAGCCCGGCGAAAGCCGGAUUAAUACCGCAUACGCUCUACGGAGGAAAGGGGGGGAUCUUAGGACCUCUCGCUACAGGGGCGGCCGAUGGCAGAUUAGCUAGUUGGUGGGGUAAAGGCCUACCAAGGCGACGAUCUGUAGCUGGUCUGAGAGGACGACCAGCCACACUGGGACUGAGACACGGCCCAGACUCCUACGGGAGGCAGCAGUGGGGAAUUUUGGACAAUGGGCGAAAGCCUGAUCCAGCAAUGCCGCGUGUGUGAAGAAGGCCUUCGGGUUGUAAAGCACUUUUGUCCGGAAAGAAAUCCCCUGGGAUAAUACCCCGGGGGGAUGACGGUACCGGAAGAAUAAGCACCGGCUAACUACGUGCCAGCAGCCGCGGUAAUACGUAGGGUGCAAGCGUUAAUCGGAAUUACUGGGCGUAAAGCGUGCGCAGGCGGUUCGCUAAGACAGAUGUGAAAUCCCCGGGCUUAACCUGGGAACUGCAUUUGUGACUGGCGGGCUAGAGUAUGGCAGAGGGGGGUAGAAUUCCACGUGUAGCAGUGAAAUGCGUAGAGAUGUGGAGGAAUACCGAUGGCGAAGGCAGCCCCCUGGGCCAAUACUGACGCUCAUGCACGAAAGCGUGGGGAGCAAACAGGAUUAGAUACCCUG
RNAcentral lists this ribosomal RNA (724 nucleotides) under uncultured Burkholderia sp. RNAcentral describes it as "bacterial SSU rRNA". It matches the Rfam family "Bacterial small subunit ribosomal RNA", at positions 70 to 789 of the family's 1533-position model. Lineage: Bacteria; Pseudomonadati; Pseudomonadota; Betaproteobacteria; Burkholderiales; Burkholderiaceae. The record is from RNAcentral.